GCGGGAAUAGCUCAGUUGGUAGAGCACCACGUUGCCAACGUGGAUGUCGCGAGUUCGAGUCUCGUUUCCCGCUCCA
Molecule: transfer RNA, 76 nt
Filed under: Pseudomonadales bacterium
Lineage: Bacteria; Pseudomonadati; Pseudomonadota; Gammaproteobacteria; Pseudomonadales
Also listed under: 2 other names
Description: tRNA-Gly
Rfam family: tRNA
About the family: Transfer RNA (tRNA) molecules are approximately 80 nucleotides in length. Their secondary structure includes four short double-helical elements and three loops (D, anti-codon, and T loops).
Source: RNAcentral